RNAcentral lists this ribosomal RNA (111 nucleotides) under uncultured bacterium. Its description in RNAcentral is "partial 16S ribosomal RNA". It matches the Rfam family "Bacterial small subunit ribosomal RNA", at positions 245 to 354 of the family's 1533-position model. The record is from RNAcentral.
UUGGUUGGGACGGGUAACGGCCCACCAAGGCGACGAUCAGUAGCCGGACUGAGAGGUUGGCCGGCCACAUUGGGACUGAGACACGGCCCAGACUCCUACGGGAGGCAGCAG